CAGGGCGGCAUGCUAUACAUGCAGUCGAGCGAACAGACGAGGAGCUUGCUCCUCUGACGUUAGCGGCGGACGGGUGAGUAACACGUGGAUAACCUACCUAUAAGACUGGGAUAACUUCGGGAAACCGGAGCUAAUACCGGAUAAUAUAUUGAACCGCAUGGUUCAAUAGUGAAAGACGGUUUUGCUGUCACUUAUAGAUGGAUCCGCGCCGCAUUAGCUAGUUGGUAAGGUAACGGCUUACCAAGGCAACGAUGCGUAGCCGACCUGAGAGGGUGAUCGGCCACACUGGAACUGAGACACGGUCCAGACUCCUACGGGAGGCAGCAGUAGGGAAUCUUCCGCAAUGGGCGAAAGCCUGACGGAGCAACGCCGCGUGAGUGAUGAAGGUCUUCGGAUCGUAAAACUCUGUUAUUAGGGAAGAACAAAUGUGUAAGUAACUAUGCACGUCUUGACGGUACCUAAUCAGAAAGCCACGGCUAACUACGUGCCACGCAGGGCGAAAAUA
This 505-nucleotide ribosomal RNA is filed under the name Staphylococcus epidermidis. Its description in RNAcentral is "bacterial SSU rRNA". It matches the Rfam family "Bacterial small subunit ribosomal RNA", at positions 38 to 525 of the family's 1533-position model. Lineage: Bacteria; Bacillati; Bacillota; Bacilli; Caryophanales; Staphylococcaceae. The record is from RNAcentral.